GGGUCUGUAAUGGUCUCGACGGGGAAAAGGAUUUUAGAACUGCAUGCGGAAGCGGGCUCCUUCCUUAAAAAGUCCAAAAAAAUAAUCGCUGAUAACGAUUACGCUCUUGCUGCCUAAUCUCUGAUUAGGUCAGUCUCUCAUAAGAGAAUAAGCACUUAUUUAGUCCCCGGUCUUUGGUAACGAAUAAGUGUUAAAGUAAUAUAGACCAAUGAUGUGGGUUUUCCGGGUUGACGCAUCGGAUACAGAAUUUCCGGCGUGCGUGUGCAAGGUAGGUCAGCUGCUUAAAACACACCGCGUAUCAAAAACAGCUGCCUAAGCAUGUAGAUGUUCUUCUUGAGAUUUCUUCGGACAGGGGUUCGACUCCCCUCAGAUCCAU
RNAcentral lists this transfer-messenger RNA (376 nucleotides) under bovine gut metagenome. It matches the Rfam family "transfer-messenger RNA". Rfam says of the family: Bacterial tmRNA, also known as 10Sa RNA or SsrA, is named for its dual tRNA and mRNA-like properties. Its role is to liberate the mRNA from a stalled ribosome. To accomplish this part of the tmRNA is used as a reading frame that ends in a translation stop signal. The record is from RNAcentral.